Molecule: unclassified non-coding RNA, 329 nt
Filed under: soil metagenome
Description: partial contains 5.8S ribosomal RNA, internal transcribed spacer 2, and large subunit ribosomal RNA
Rfam family: 5.8S ribosomal RNA (bases 1-120)
Source: RNAcentral
GAUGAAGAACGCAGCGAAAUGCGAUAAGUAAUGUGAAUUGCAGAAUUCAGUGAAUCAUCGAAUCUUUGAACGCACAUUGCGCCCCUUGGUAUUCCGAGGGGCAUGCCUGUUCGAGCGUCAUUAUAACCCCUCAAGCUCAGCUUGGUGUUGGGGCCUGCUGCACUGGUAGCCCUUAAAAUCAGUGGCGGCGCCAUCUGGCUCUAAGCGUAGUAAUUCUUCUCGCUAUGGAGUCCUGGUGGAUGCUUGCCAUCAACCCCCAAUUUUUCUAUGGUUGACCUCGGAUCAGGUAGGGAUACCCGCUGAACUUAAGCAUAUCAAUAAGCGGAGGA